AAGUGUGUUGUGAAAUGUAGACGCUCAACGUCUGAAUUGCAGCGCAUACUGGUUUCCUUGAGUACGCACAACGUUGGCGGAAUUCGUCGUGUAGCGGUGAAAUGCUUAGAUAUGACGAAGAACUCCGAUUGCGAAGGCAGCUGACGGGAGCGCAACUGACGCUUAAGCUCGAAGGUGCGGGUAUCAAACAGGAUUAGAUACCCUGGUAGUCCGCACAGUAAACGAUGGAUGCCCGCUGUUGGUACCUGGUAUCAGCGGCUAAGCGAAAGCAUUAAGCAUCCCACCUGGGGAGUACGCCGGCAACGGUGAAACUCAAAGGAAUUGACGGGGGCCCGCACAAGCGGAGGAACAUGUGGUUUAAUUCGAUGAUACGCGAGGAACCUUACCCGGGCUUGAAUUGCAGAGAAAGGAUUUAGAGAUAAUGACGCCCUUCGGGGUCUCUGUGAAGGUGCUGCAUGGUUGUCGUCAGCUCGUGUCGUGAG
Molecule: ribosomal RNA, 482 nt
Filed under: uncultured bacterium
Lineage: Bacteria
Description: bacterial SSU rRNA
Rfam family: Bacterial small subunit ribosomal RNA
Source: RNAcentral